UCCCUGGAAGACUAGUGGUUAGGCUAACGCGUACUCACCGCUGUGGCCUGGGUUUGAUUCCCGGGCAGGGAA
Non-coding RNA from Pangasius djambal, 72 nucleotides. NCBI's taxonomy places the organism in Eukaryota, Metazoa, Chordata, Actinopteri, Siluriformes, Pangasiidae. The record is from the annotation of a GenBank genome assembly.